AUUCGAGUAGCUUAUAAUUAGAGCAUGACACUGAAGAUGUUAGGGAGAUUAAUUAAUUCUCGAAUA
RNAcentral lists this transfer RNA (66 nucleotides) under Cerconychia flectospina. RNAcentral describes it as "tRNA-Phe". The record is from RNAcentral. Lineage: Eukaryota; Metazoa; Arthropoda; Insecta; Plecoptera; Styloperlidae.